This 229-nucleotide ribosomal RNA is filed under the name uncultured bacterium. RNAcentral describes it as "partial 16S ribosomal RNA". It matches the Rfam family "Bacterial small subunit ribosomal RNA", at positions 118 to 347 of the family's 1533-position model. The record is from RNAcentral.
UGACCAACCUGCCCCUUGCUCUGGGAUAACCCCGGGAAACCGGAGCUAAUACCGGAUACGAGACCGUGCGGCAUCACGCGGUCUGGAAAGUUUUUCGGCAAGGGAUGGGGUCGCGGCCUAUCAGCUUGUUGGUGGGGUAAUGGCCCACCAAGGCGACGACGGGUAGCCGGCCUGAGAGGGCGACCGGCCACACUGGGACUGAGACACGGCCCAGACUCCUACGGGAGCA